Molecule: ribosomal RNA, 263 nt
Filed under: uncultured bacterium
Lineage: Bacteria
Description: partial 16S ribosomal RNA
Rfam family: Bacterial small subunit ribosomal RNA
Source: RNAcentral
UACGUAGGUGGCGAGCGUUGUCCGGAAUUACUGGGUGUAAAGGGCGUGUAGGCGGGACUGCAAGUCAGAUGUGAAAUACCAGGGCUCAACUCUGGAGGUGCAUCUGAAACUGUGGUUCUUGAGUGCUGGAGAGGAAAGCGGAAUUCCUAGUGUAGCGGUGAAAUGCGUAGAUAUUAGGAGGAACACCAGUGGCGAAGGCGGCUUUCUGGACAGUAACUGACGCUGAGGCGCGAAAGCGUGGGGAGCAAACAGGAUUAGAUACC